UACGUAGGGUGCAAGCGUUAAUCGGAAUUACUGGGCGUAAAGCGUGCGCAGGCGGCUGGGCAAGACAGAUGUGAAAUCCCCGGGCUCAACCUGGGAAUUGCAUUUGUGACUGCAUGGCUAGAGUGUGUCAGAGGGGGGUAGAAUUCCACGUGUAGCAGUGAAAUGCGUAGAGAUGUGGAGGAAUACCGAUGGCGAAGGCAGCCCCCUGGGAUAACACUGACGCUCAUGCACGAAAGCGUGGGGAGCAAACAGG
Molecule: ribosomal RNA, 253 nt
Filed under: uncultured bacterium
Lineage: Bacteria
Description: partial 16S ribosomal RNA
Rfam family: Bacterial small subunit ribosomal RNA
Source: RNAcentral